This 288-nucleotide signal recognition particle RNA is filed under the name Sinocyclocheilus anshuiensis. RNAcentral's name for it is "Metazoan signal recognition particle RNA (ENSSANG00000032512.1)". It matches the Rfam family "Metazoan signal recognition particle RNA". From Rfam's summary of the family: The signal recognition particle (SRP) is a universally conserved ribonucleoprotein. It is involved in the co-translational targeting of proteins to membranes. Lineage: Eukaryota; Metazoa; Chordata; Actinopteri; Cypriniformes; Cyprinidae. The record is from Rfam by way of RNAcentral.
GUCGGGUGCAGUGGCGUGCGCCUGUAAUCCAAGCUGCUGGGAGGCUGAGGCUGGCGGAUCGCUUGAGUUCAGGGGUUCUGGGCUGCAGUGGACUAUGUUGAUCGGGUGUCCGCACUAAGUUCGGUAUCGAUAUGGUGUUCCUGGGGGAGCUCGGGACCACCAGGUCGUCUAAGGAGGGGUGAACCGGCCCAGGUCGGAGACGGAGCAGGUCAAAGCCCGGGUUCGGGGCUGCAGUGGACUAUGUCGAUCGGGUGUCCGCACUAAGUUCGGUAUCGAUAUGGUGCUCCU